RNAcentral lists this ribosomal RNA (274 nucleotides) under uncultured bacterium. RNAcentral describes it as "partial 16S ribosomal RNA". It matches the Rfam family "Bacterial small subunit ribosomal RNA", at positions 523 to 796 of the family's 1533-position model. The record is from RNAcentral.
AUACGGAGGGGGCAAGCGUUGUUCGGAAUUACUGGGCGUAAAGGGCGCGUAGGCGGACAAUUAAGUCAGAGGUGAAAGCCCUGGGCUCAACCUAGGAACUGCCUUUGAAACUGAUAGUCUCGAGUCCGAGAGAGGAUGGCGGAAUUCCCAGUGUAGAGGUGAAAUUCGUAGAUAUUGGGAAGAACACCAGUGGCGAAGGCGGCCAUCUGGCUCGGUACUGACGCUGAGGCGCGAAAGCGUGGGGAGCAAACAGGAUUAGAUACCCCAGUAGUCC